UUUGUGUUGUGUGUCGACAAGAAGCAGAAAACAAGCAUGGGAAGAGACAAAACUGAACUUUUGAAGAUGAAAUCUAUAAAACAAAAGAUCAACCAUUGAUCUUUAGUAAAGGAUUUAACAUGGAAGUCAAUGCUUCGGUAAGAGAAGUCAAGACCCAAUCUCUCCUACGGACAAAUGUAAGUUAACCUUACUUUAUUAUUAUCUACGGUACCUACUCGAUGUGGAUGAAUCAUAAGUUCAUAACCUAUUCAUACAAGCAUAUAACUACCUAAUAGCAUGUGCUAUUAAGUAGCUAUACAUCUGGACUAAGGACACUAUAAUUGUUAUUGAUAUGGUUAAAUAUAUGUUUUUUUAGUAUCCAUAUUGUUGCUACUGCUGCUAUUAUAGUGUGUGCAGAAGUAUUUAAUUUGUUGCUAUUGACCAGCAUUUAAAACUAUAUAUCUGGUCGUUUGGCUGCCACUUGUACAUUGUACAAAAUUGUAUAUUAUCGUCGCUGAUUGGUUUGAAUUUCAGUCGGUAGGUGUGUCGCUUUGGUCGCCAUUUCUCUCUUACAUGAAGAUAGCACAUAGUUUUCUUAAAAAAAAUGGUGGUUCAUCCAGGUAAGGUGACUGUUAUAUUAAUAUGGAACCCAAGUUGAAGAUUGACUUUAUAAUCAAAAAACGGUUCUUAAUCUUUGGGUUACGUCAUCAUUUGUUGGUUCGGGAAGAUAUGAAAGGUUAAUAUAUAAAGAUGAUUGCAGGUUUUAUUUUAUAAUAAAGUUCUUAUACAGGUUAUAAUAAAAAAAAUCAAACUGGGAAAAUAAUCAAGCAUGUGUUGAA
RNAcentral lists this long non-coding RNA (818 nucleotides) under Helianthus annuus (common sunflower). The record is from RNAcentral. Lineage: Eukaryota; Viridiplantae; Streptophyta; Magnoliopsida; Asterales; Asteraceae.